UGCUGAACUGGAAAGGAAGAAAUGUUAUUUUUUCCAGGAUGAAAGCAAAACAAGAUCUCUCCCUGUUUAUCCUGUCUCACCCUUUUCUAAAGAAGGGCUUUUAGGAGAGCAGUACUACCAGUGACCUAUGGGAACAAGAAGACUAUCUGGAGGUAUUUAUCAGUCCAAGUGGGAAGCGUGUGAAAUACCCUGACAGCUGUGCCUCACUCACCUAAGGGAUGUUUUUCCAGAAUGCUCACAAAGACACAUCACAGCCUGGGGGUGCCUACCUUCCAAGCCCAGUGGUUUGGUGUGCAGAAAUGCUGAGCUCCCAGUCUCAGCUGAGACAGGCAGAGAGAUGCUUCAGUGAUUCACACCCUCGUGUCGUGCAAGCACUGGAGAGUUUCAAAGGGUAUAGCAUGAUGUCUGGAAAGAUGAAGUUCAGAGACUUCAAGAAGUGAUGAAUUCGUCAUACGCCCUCAGGACUUAUUUCAAUGCUUAAUUAAUUGCUGUUAAGAUGUGCACCUUAUUGCUAGCUGAAACAUGGUUAUCUUCAGCCUCCAGCCAUGGGAUCUUGUUAUGUGUUGCCUGGUAGA
This is a long non-coding RNA of Zonotrichia albicollis (white-throated sparrow), 575 nucleotides long. RefSeq lists it as uncharacterized. NCBI's taxonomy places the organism in Eukaryota, Metazoa, Chordata, Aves, Passeriformes, Passerellidae. The record is from RefSeq and is a predicted model, not a curated record.